CUGAUGACAAUUCCCAAUUCAAAGUUAAGUGGGACUAAGAACAGGGUCCAGAUGGAUGAUGAAAUCAUAACCUCCAAACUUGCCUUGGAUACCACUGCUUCAGAGGGUGCUGGACGGUGCAUUGCCAUGCAUACUACAACCAGGAUGUUCUUUUGCAAGACAAACAUACCACAUUGGGAGUCUGAAAAUGGAAGAUUCACGUGGUACAGACAGAGGUUUCAACAAUUCAAGGCUGGUCCUUGGCUACCAGUUGUGCUCUGACCAUAGCUGGCAGAGAAAGAAGAGAAUGGAAGGAAUCAAGAAGAGGACAUUGGGGUCUCUGAGGGUCAGCGCCACUGCAGGGGCCAGAGGGGAAGCUGGCAUAGGACCCUCUAGCAUGACUUCAGAGAGGGGCAACCUGAUCAUUAACACCCACAAAGACCCAGGAGUUAGACACAACCCUGGGAAGAGGAUUGCAAUUACUCUGACUUAACUGGGAAGAGUUUCUUUCACCCAGUGCAGUGGGCACAAAAAAAUAAAAAUUAAAUAGUUAUGGAAAAGUAAAACAAGUUCCAUUUUCUGCAUAUCUGCGCUGUGGCCUGAGACUCACCCUGCUGCAUGUAGGAAUUACGUGGCUCUGUUGCAGUAACAAUUAAGAUAAUGGUCAUCAUAAUGAUGGUAGUAACAUUUAUGGACGGCUUACUGUGUACCAAGCUCAAUUCUGAGGACUUUACAUGAUGUUAUAUUAUAGAAACUAUUAUUUGCUCCAUUUUGUUAAAGAAAAUUGAGUCACAAAGAGAGGAAAUGAUUGACCCUACCGAGGGAUGAAAACCAGAAUGGAAUUUCGGGCAGGUCAAUCCAGCACAUGAGAAAAAUGAUGUGCGCAGAUGAGACAAACUUCUUAGAGAUCAUUCUUAAUUUAGCACUUUUAGUGGGCCAGGGUGAGGCUGUAUCUGCAUGAAAAAAUGCUACAGUUUCUUAGUCUAUGCAGGAUAACCAACAAGAGGAAGAAAUUCAGGGGUAAGCAAGGAGAAGUUAAAAGCUCUUCUGUGAACUUUGUGAACCGAACUUUGUCCUGAAAAGGGACAAGUUUUGUAGCUUGUAACUCGGCGUCAUGGACUCCAGCCCUGACCAGGCGGGGACCCCAGGCCGCAGGCAGGCCGGCCUCGCCUUAACCUGCCUGCAUUCUUGAAGCCACUACAGACAAGCUGGCUUUGGAGGAGGAUCCCGGUUUCCAAUGCCAGAGGGAAGAAACAUUCCUCAUCCCAAAGGAGACAGGCUUUUUGUUUUGUUUUGCUUUUGAGAUAGUCUGUAAAAGAUUCUAGAACAAAGGCCUUCUCCGCUUCUCCUGAUUGUCGGUGGGAAUAGCACAUUUGUCGGUGGACACAGAUGCUAAGGUGGGUGCGGGCACUUCUGCAAACUGGACGGGACCCAGAAAGCUGUGAGUCCAGCUUGGCCUGCCUUCUUUCCCUGCAAAGGCCAGAAGGAAAUGAGCGGAAGAAGGCAGGACCGGACAUGCAGGGUGAGGAACCAGCCUCGGCACCGACCCUCUCUAAGGGAAGGCAGCCUCUCACCCACCGUUGCACCCUCUGAAUUCACUAAUAUUAACCCCAGGUGAAUGGGGAGAACUGGAUGAGGCAGUUGAGCUGGAGAGUGGGAGGCCUUGAGAGUCUCCCCAUUCAUGGUUUGGAAGCAAUGAAGGACAGGUGGCCCCAAAGAAUGCCUGGGCCCAUGGGCCUGAGGCAGUCUUGAGGUUCCAAGACAGCCGAGGACUUCCCUGCGUGGUUGAGAGCAAUGCGUGGGUAACGCAGAGAGCCCGUGGGUCGCAAGUCAGUGUGUUAGCAAAGCCAGGGAUUGCCUCAGAGGCCUGGGGAUGCCUCAGAGCAGCCCUUGAUCUGAGGCUUCUCUUUGCACUGAUAUUGCAAGUCCUAUACCACCCCCAUUCCCAGGGUUCGGGUCCCACCCAGGAAAGGAAUGGAGGAGAACCUCAUCUCUGACUUGGCUAAGCUUUCAUUUCCUCCACCCUGCGGAAUGACGGGGGUGAGGAGUGAUCAGCCUGGGACAAAAAAAAAAAAAUCACUGUGAUAAAAAAUGAACUGGUCACAUUUGUCCUACAUCUGAGCUGAAGGCUGAGGACUUACUUGGACCCACUCUGCUUUAGAAAGUUUGCUAGAAAAGGCCAUUUGUCCAAUGAAAGGAUCCUCUGUUAUUUUUGAAGAAACUGGGAAGUUACCAUCAACAGGAGGGCAGAUGAGACGUGGCAAUGUACUUUGUGCCUUCUGGUGAGUGGCAUUUUCUUGAUCUGGGGUGUGAGGGGUACGGGAAUCUUAGCUCUCCGUGAAUGACGACGAGGUUGAUUCUGCACAGGGGGGUUUAUGAGUGUUUAGACUGGUGCUUGCAGUCGAGAAACAGAGGAAAGGGAGCACAAGGCUCUGUGGUGGGGGGCCAUGGUGGGGGGUGCACUGUGGCAACAGCGCCUGAAAGGGGGGUCCUGCACAUCUAUUAUGUAAUGUAUUAUGUAGGAGUGUUAUUAUGCAGAAUAACAGUGUCAACCAAUACUAACUGAGCAGGGAAAGGAAGGAAAGACGGAAGGAAAGAGGCCAUGUCUGCUUUUGAGGGAGGCUUUGGGGGCCCUGCAGGGAAGCACAGGGCCACAGCAGCCAAGGCGACAGUGUGAGGGUAGACCCUGGACACAGUGGGAAGAGGACUGUAUUAAAGGGCUGUUGGCAGAGGCAUUGGUGACCAUGUGCAAGGGCAGCAGACAGCCGCCUCGAGGGCAGUAGAUGUCAAAUUGGAGUGAGGAGCUUGGAAGGGAGAACAUGGCAGUCGGACGACUUGGCAUGGAGGUCACACAAGGUGAUGCUUUGAAGACACCUGGCUGUAUCUGGAAGACACUGAGAGCUAGAAACACAGGUUACAUAUAAGGUGUGUGAAGAGCCCCGUGAUAUUCAGGUGUAAGGAGAUCACAUUUGUAUACUUUUCCAUGUAAAGCCAGAUCUGGCUUACUGUUCAUUGGCUUGGCUCACACUUUAAUUCCAUCAGUCAUGUGUGGAAGGCUGUGCCUCCAGGUCAAAGAAUUUCUCCUUUGGGUCCCAAAUAGAAUCUUGAGUAAAGAUGACAAUGGUGGGCCUCCCUGGUGGUGCAAGGGGUUAAGAUGCAACCUAUGAAGCUAUCUGCAGCCACCUAAGCACGAGAUCAAUCCCUGGCCAGGGAACUACCCACAUGGUGCAGCAGACCCCUCCUGUGUCGCCCGUUGCUCCCCUCAGCAGUGUGUUUCAGUGGAUCUGCCUGUUCUGCUCCCCACUCUGUUUCUGGUGAAUCCUCUCAUCCCCCACACCUCUGGCCUGUACCCCAGUUCUUGUAUGAAUAAAUAAAUCUUUAAAAAAAAAAUGAUGGCAAUGGUUUGGGGCAAGGUGGCAGGUGUGUUUUUGAUCAGUCCCCUUCACCAUCACUUCCACCCCUCAGACUCCCUGGCCAAGUGUAUCAUGACUAGGGGAGAAAUAGCAACGCCAGUGAGAGCCUACGUGCCAAAUGCCAAGGACCUGGCUGCCAAUAGGCCAUUCCUCCCUUCUUUCCAGCCACCUGCUUCCAGUGCUGGGAUGAUAAUAAGAUUAGAGCAUCUCAUGGGCAGUGGCCCAUUGGCUUAACUUGUCUCUGUAAAAUGAGUUCCUUGGUCAGAAGUCAUAUUGUGUGGGAGCCCAUGCCACUGUACACCACCCAGCAAGUCCAUAGAGAGGGAUGGCGACUGUGUGAUAACAGCUAGGGAGACAGAAUCCAAAUGCUGAGCUAGUGCCCAUCCAGAGAGAACACGAGAGCCCCUUCCCUGAUGGAAAAGGGCCAAUCUAAUCUACUGCCACCUGGUAGCUGGCUCCACCCCCGGAAUGCCUCACUGCCCUGAAUGGUGCUGCCAGUCACUUAUUGGAUCAGCCCAAGAUACUAGGUGUCCUCUGUUGUCCUUCCCUCCCGUCACACUCAUUAUCCUAUCUGUUACCAGGUGCUGCUGUUGCUACCUUUUAUUUUAUUAUUUUAUUAUUAUUUUUUAAUUUUAUAUAUUUUUUACAUCAUUUUUCAUUUUUACACAAUGUAUGCAUUUUCAUCUUGGUUAUAGUCCCCAUACAGUUCCCACCCCGCCUUGUUUUGAUCCUACUCCCUCCUUCCUGCCUGUAGUGUGUCUCUGGUUGAUUUUGUUGCUUGUUGAUUUUGAUUUUCACUUUAUUAUAACUAGUCUUUUUCCUGGUCCCUUAUUUAGACUUUCUAAAUUCCUGCUAUGAUCCAGCAAUUCCACUCCUAGGUAUUUACCCAAAGGACACAGAAACAUUAAUUCCAAAGAGCACCUGCACCCCUAUGUUUAUAGCAGCACUGUUUACAAUAGUUAAGCUUUGGAAACAACCCAAAUGCCCAAAAAUAGAUGACUGGAUCAAGAAGAUGUGGUGCAUAUAUACCAUGGAAUAUUACUCAGCAAUCAAAAAAGAUAAACACAUGCAAUUUGCAGCAACAUGGAUGGAGCUGGAAGGGAUCAUGCUCAGCGAAAUAAGCCAGAAAGAAAAAGAAAAAUACCGGAUGGUCUCACUCAUAGCAGGAAUGUUGCUACCUUUUAAAGUGGUGCCAAAAUGCCAUCUUUUCUUAGCUAUUUCCACCUCGCAGCUCUCACCUUUGCAAUGGCCUCAGCUGGCCAGCCUCCUUAUGCUCCUUGUCUAUAAAAUGUUCACACAGCACAGUGAUUAAUUUUUUUUAAUUGGGGGAAAGUAGACAUAACAUAAAAAUUUACCAUCUUAACUACUUUUUCAUUUGUGGUUGAGUGGUGUUAACUGUGUGAAGCCCAUGUCCAGAAGUUACAGUUUCAUCUUGCAUUACUGAACCUACAUGGUGCAACAGCACCGCACUCCCCCGCUUCCCUCCACCACCCCCGGAAAGUACCAUUCUUCUCUGUCUCUGUGAACUUGAUUACAGGCCUGAUAUAAGUGGAAUCAGGUGGUAUUUUUGUGACUGAUUGAUUUCAUUUAACCUAAUGUCUUCAAGGUUUAUCCAUGUUUAUUCCAUGUCUCAGAUUUUCUUUCAAAGGAUGAAUAAGACUUCAUUGUAGAUCUAUGCCAUAUUUUAUUUAUCCAAAAUGAUUUUUUAAAAUAUUAGGCUUAGUUUGUUUUCAAGAAUAAAAUGACAUGACAAAGAGACAAAGCAACACAAUUGAAUGGAUGGGUAUUGCUUUCAUAAUGAUUUGAACAAACCAAGUGUAAAAUGUUUUUGAGACAUUUUGAGAAAUGUGAUUUUAUUAAGGAAGAAUUUUUAAAAAUUGUGAUUUGUUCUGGUCAUAAGGGUUUUGUGACUAGAUUUUUAAAAAUGUGUCUUCUAGAAAUACCUAUUGAAUAUUAAUGAAAGAGAUGCUAUACCAUGGAAUUUGAGUACAGAAAAAUGUGUCUGUAUGGCAAGAAGUAGGUGAAAUGAGAUAGACAAAGUGUUAAUUUUUGUUCCAGUUGGGUUAUGUAUAAAUGGAAACUUAGUGCAUUUGCUUCUCCUUGUAUUCAUAUUUGAAAAUGUGCAUAUGAAAUUCCUAAAGAUCUAAGAACUACUUUUUCUUUUAAAAACUCUGAUAGCUUCUCACUUCUCACAGAAUAUGAUGCAAAUGUGUAAUAUUAUGGUGUAAUAGUGUUGUUUUAGUGUAAAACUUUAUUACUUCCUCAAAGAUUUGUUGUGAGGAUUGAUUAUUGCAUGUAAAGCAUUAGGAAGGGUGCUUAACCCAGCUUAAAAGCUAUUUAAAUACUAAUUUACUGUUUAAUUUCUUAAGUAUCUCUGCUGUUUACUAUUAGGACCAGUUUAGCAUAUCAACAACCAAAGAUUAAAUUUAUGAUUUCAUAAUAAACUAUGAUUCAUAUCAUCAAGAUAGCUCCUAUUGAGUUGGCAGUGGAGGGUGGAUUAGAGAAAACAUGGAGGCAAGAAGCAAAUAAAGAAGUCUUGAGAAUGAAAUACAUAAGAAGUUUGCUACACUUUUGGAUGCAAUUAUAUAUCCAAGCACACCAUGAGCCUCCACUAAAAGCAGACUGAACAACCCUUGAAUGACCAUAAUUGCAAAACCAGCAGGUGAUGCACUUAUUGCUACAGCCUCUGAAGAAGAUAUACUGCCUGCCACUCCUUUCAUGCACAAAACAAGGCACAUCGAGCAGGUCCAGGUCUAAUCGGGGCCUCCUCCACUGCACAGUGGGUGUCUUCACAAGGUGUGCUCAUUGAAUAUCAUCAUUGCUGUGAACCAGUAACUGAUAGAUAUCUGCCAUUCUUCCCAUUUCUAAAUAAACACUUUAAUUAUUAUUGACAUGUCCCUGUUCUGCCAUUGUGUGUUGAGUAUGUCUAUGGGAGGAAAGAAGGUGAGAUGAUCUAUAUUUUAGUUUAUAGCUCACCAGCCUACACAAAGUCCCAUCCAAAUCUGAAUGGAAAAACGAAUCAGAGUGAGAUUCUGGAGUAUGAGCUGCAUGCAGUAGCUGGGUGGCACUUUCCACUGAUACCCUUGGGCAGACAGGUGGGUGUCUGGUGUGGAAAAAGGCUGCAAGUGAGAAGAAGGUAUUCAAAACAAAUU
This is a long non-coding RNA of Talpa occidentalis (Iberian mole), 6544 nucleotides long. RefSeq lists it as uncharacterized. The record is from RefSeq and is a predicted model, not a curated record. Lineage: Eukaryota; Metazoa; Chordata; Mammalia; Eulipotyphla; Talpidae. The transcript is spliced from 3 exons.